This 535-nucleotide ribosomal RNA is filed under the name uncultured bacterium. RNAcentral's name for it is "bacterial SSU rRNA". It matches the Rfam family "Bacterial small subunit ribosomal RNA", at positions 774 to 1311 of the family's 1533-position model. The record is from RNAcentral.
AGUCAAUAGAUACCCUGGUAGUCCACGCCGUAAACGAUGAGUACUAGGUGUAGGAGGUAUCGACUCCUUCUGUGCCGCAGUUAACACAAUAAGUACUCCGCCUGGGAAGUACGGUCGCAAGAUUAAAACUCAAAGGAAUUGACGGGGGCCCGCACAAGCAGCGGAGCAUGUGGUUUAAUUCGAAGCAACGCGAAGAACCUUACCUAGACUUGACAUCCCCUGAAUAACGUAGAGAUACGCGAAGCCCUUCGGGGCAGGGAGACAGGUGGUGCAUGGUUGUCGUCAGCUCGUGUCGUGAGAUGUUGGGUUAAGUCCCGCAACGAGCGCAACCCUUAUCAUUAGUUGCUACCAUUUAGUUGAGCACUCUAGUGAGACUGCCCGGGUUAACCGGAGGAAGGCGGGGAUGACGUCAAAUCAUCAUGCCCCUUAUGUCUAGGGCUACACACGUGCUACAAUGGUGAGAACAACGAGAUGCAAUACCGCGAGGUGGAGCAAAACUUCAAAACUCAUCUCAGUUCGGAUUGUAGGCUGAAAC